RNAcentral lists this ribosomal RNA (1124 nucleotides) under Goniobranchus leopardus. RNAcentral's name for it is "16S ribosomal RNA". The stretch from base 762 to 1069 matches the Rfam family "Archaeal large subunit ribosomal RNA", at positions 2151 to 2715 of the family's 2987-position model. The record is from RNAcentral. Lineage: Eukaryota; Metazoa; Mollusca; Gastropoda; Nudibranchia; Chromodorididae.
UUUAGUCUUUUUUGGUUAGAACAAUUAUUUUUUAGAUUACAUCAUUGGAAGUUAUGAAAAUAGUAUGUUAGUUAAUCUUACCUUUGGUAUAAUGGCUGUACUAGAAUAAUACAGAAUUGUAGUUCCCGAAAUAAGAAGAACUAUUUAUUAACCUAUUUUAGCAGAAAAAUGAGUUAUGUGGCAAUAUAACUCUAAGAUUAGUAAAUAGGAGCGAAAAACUUUCAAUUCUUAGGAUAUCUGGAAAUCUCAGAAAAGCAUAUAGUGCUGUAAAGUUAUUCAGGAAGCGAUGAGGUUUUCUGAAAAUAAUAUUCAAAAUCUGUACAAAAUGGUAUUCUCUUUAGAAUUAAAAUUAGAGAGAUUUUUACUUAAAAUUAUUAAUAUUUUAGAUAAUUUAUUAUUUAUGGGAUUUCUCCAAAUAAUUGUUUUUGGAGAAAACAAUGUAUAGAUGAGUAAUAAAUCAAUAUAUUUUUUUCAAUUUUGUUUGUAAUAAAUUAAUGAAAAUAUGUUUUGAAAUAAUUAAUAGGAACUCGGCAAAUAUGAAUUUCGACUGUUUAACAAAAACAUAGCUUUAGGAAAUAAUCUAAAGUUUUACCUGCCCAAUGUGUAAAUAUAAUGAAUGGCCGCGGUACUUUGACCGUGCUAAGGUAGCGCAAUCAAUUGGCUCUUAAUUGGGGUCAGGAAUGAAUGGAGUUUACGUGGUUCAGCUGUCUUUUAAUUAAUACGUUGAAGUUACUAUAUAAGUGAAAAAGCUUAUUAGUAGAAAAAGGACGAGAAGACCCUUAGAGUUUUUCUUAAUGUGAAUAAUAAAAUAUUGUGAUUCACAAUGGUUUUGUUGGGGCAACAUAGGAGCAGUAAUUAGAUAUAAUCUCCUGAAUUUAACUUACCGAAGUAUUAAAUUUGAAUAAACUACCUUAGGGAUAACAGCAUAAUUUUAAAAAUAAGUUUGUGACCUCGAUGUUGGACUAGGAAACUUAAAGGCUAGCCGUCUUUAGGGAAAGUUCUGUUCGAACUAUCAUUCCUACAUGAUCUGAGUUCAGACCGGCGUAAGCCAGGUCAGAUUCUAUCCUUUUAUUACAAAAAUUUAGUACGAAAGGACCAGUUUUUGGUAUAGUAAAUAUAUAUGA